UCUAGAAAGGUCAGCUGAGUCAGAAGCUCUUGGGUCCCCUCAUUCAUGGCUGCAAUAUCUAAACCAGAAGUGGGUGGGCCAUGAGAAGAAUAAGAUGUUCCCUGGAGGCAGAGUAGUGACUCUUUUUUCCUUCCUUUCCUUACAGACCCCAGAGAAGGAGGCCGGCUACAGUGAGUGCUUCCUUGGGGCAGUUUCUGCCUGGGGUGUGUUGGGGGUGUGGUGCCAUCGAAGCUCACUGUCCUGCAAGGAGCACAGGGUUGUCUUUGAUUUUAAGGAAGAAAAAGUACCACCUGCCUGGUUUUGUCCUGAAUGUGUGGAGUCUUUUGGAUUUUAGAAGGAGCCUCCCUUCAGCUCUGCCCAGCCCCACCACUCUCCACCCACGCGGCCCUUUCUACUCUUCAGACAUCUUUGAAUCUUCUUUCCUCUUUAUCUUUCAUCUUCAUUU
Molecule: long non-coding RNA, 445 nt
Filed under: Rattus norvegicus (Norway rat)
Lineage: Eukaryota; Metazoa; Chordata; Mammalia; Rodentia; Muridae
Description: long non-coding RNA NONRATT010530
Source: RNAcentral